CAGGUACCAUACUUUCCUUUGCACAUGACCAUGAGCAAACAAAUCCGACUGCUGAAAAAAGCCAUCCACGCUGCUAGGAAUUGACCAAGAGUAUCCGCACCAAUUCAUAACUUUAGACCACACCAGCCAUACGUCUCUGCUGCAAAAGAAGAUGAUCGGCUGUUUCACAUGAGAAUUGCAAGAGGACACAUGCUAGCAGCUUGGCCUACAAUUCUAAUUUGCUGCAAAAAAUUGUUUGUCUGCACUUUCCCCAUGGCAGCAAGCCAAACAAAGGCUUCUACUUUUGGUGGUGCAAUAGAUUUCCAGACAAAGGAUUGUAUUGGAGAAAUCUCUCCAAGAGUUACACGGUCUAUCAAGAAGCUACAAGAUCUAACAGCGUAAUCACCUUUGACAUCAUGAAUGCAAAUACAUUUAUUUCUUAGAUUGUAAAAUAAAUGAACAGCAGAUGUGUCAAGUAACAAAUUACCCUCCAGUUGUUUCUUCCAAACCCAAAGAGCCCUACUCCAUUUAAACUUCCAUUCCGAAAGAGAACCCUUCUACUCACCCAACUCAGCUAUCUUACAGUCUGUC
RNAcentral lists this long non-coding RNA (570 nucleotides) under Populus trichocarpa (black cottonwood). RNAcentral describes it as "long non-coding RNA (PTRI_LNC003487)". Lineage: Eukaryota; Viridiplantae; Streptophyta; Magnoliopsida; Malpighiales; Salicaceae. The record is from RNAcentral.